Molecule: ribosomal RNA, 444 nt
Filed under: uncultured bacterium
Lineage: Bacteria
Description: partial 16S ribosomal RNA
Rfam family: Bacterial small subunit ribosomal RNA
Source: RNAcentral
CUACGGGUGGCUGCAGUGGGGAAUAUUGCACAAUGGGCGAAAGCCUGAUGCAGCAACGCCGCGUGAGGGACGACGGCCUUCGGGUUGUAAACCUCUUUUAGCAGGGAAGAAGCGAAAGUGACGGUACCUGCGGAAAAAGCACCGGCUAACUACGUGCCAGCAGCCGCGGUAAUACGUAGGGUGCAAGCGUUGUCCGGAAUUAUUGGGCGUAAAGAGCUCGUAGGCGGUUUGUCGCGUCUGCUGUGAAAAUCCGAGGCUCAACCUCGGACCUGCAGUGGGUACGGGCAAACUAGAGUGCGGUAGGGGAGAUUGGAAUUCCUGGUGUAGCGGUGGAAUGCGCAGAUAUCAGGAGGAACACCAAUGGCGAAGGCAGAUCUCUGGGCCGUAACUGACGCUGAGGAGCGAAAGCGUGGGGAGCGAACAGGAUUAGAUACCCGUGUAGUC